This is a non-coding RNA of Candidatus Scalindua brodae, 83 nucleotides long. NCBI's taxonomy places the organism in Bacteria, Pseudomonadati, Planctomycetota, Candidatus Brocadiia, Candidatus Brocadiales, Candidatus Scalinduaceae. The record is from Rfam.
GCGGAAGUGAUGGAACGGCAGACAUGCUAGCUUGAGGGGCUAGUCCUCGCAAGGGGGUGGGGGUUCAAAUCCCCCCUUCCGCA